RNAcentral lists this unclassified non-coding RNA (240 nucleotides) under soil metagenome. Its description in RNAcentral is "partial contains 5.8S ribosomal RNA, internal transcribed spacer 2, and large subunit ribosomal RNA". The record is from RNAcentral.
AACCAUUCUCACCUGCGGCUAGACCUGCGGAAGGAUCAUUAACGAGUUGCAAAACUCCCCAAACCAUUGUGAACCUACCUAUACCGUUUCUUCGGCGGGCGGCUCGCGCCCUAACCUGCCCUCUCUCUUAGGGAGGCGGACCCGCCGGAGGCUCUUAAACUCUUAGCUUUAGUUGGUAUCUCUGAGUACGAUUUUAAAUAAGUCAAAACUUUUAACAAUGGAUCUCAGAUCGGAAGAGCA